UAUCACUCCUUCUGAGGAGGAGGUAAUCAAUCUGAGUCCUCGCCGCCGAACUCUUGAAGGUGACCAAAUGCUCCUCCCUCUUCUGAAAUGCCGAGUUCACAAUCAAAAGCUCGGAAGACCUGGCGAAAUCAAGUAGUGACGUGCCUCCUCUAUUCCUAACCCCAAAGCCGAAGCCACCGUGCACCUCACAAUAACCCCCAGCAUCAGCCCCAAUAUGACCAUUAAAGUCCCC
Molecule: long non-coding RNA, 232 nt
Filed under: Nicotiana benthamiana
Lineage: Eukaryota; Viridiplantae; Streptophyta; Magnoliopsida; Solanales; Solanaceae
Description: long non-coding RNA (NBEN_LNC029151)
Source: RNAcentral